UACGUAGGGAGCAAGCGUUGUCCGGAAUUACUGGGCGUAAAGGGUGCGUAGGCGGAUGAGCAAGUCAGAUGUGAAAUACCCGGGCUUAACCCGGGGGGUGCAUUUGAAACUGCUGAUCUUGAGUGCAGGAGAGGUAAGUGGAAUUCCUAGUGUAGCGGUGAAAUGCGUAGAUAUUAGGAGGAACACCAGUGGCGAAGGCGACUUACUGGACUGCAACUGACGCUGAGGCACGAAAGCGUGGGGAGCAAACAGG
This 253-nucleotide ribosomal RNA is filed under the name uncultured bacterium. RNAcentral's name for it is "partial 16S ribosomal RNA". It matches the Rfam family "Bacterial small subunit ribosomal RNA", at positions 524 to 776 of the family's 1533-position model. The record is from RNAcentral.